This 484-nucleotide ribosomal RNA is filed under the name uncultured bacterium. RNAcentral describes it as "partial 16S ribosomal RNA". It matches the Rfam family "Bacterial small subunit ribosomal RNA", at positions 29 to 507 of the family's 1533-position model. The record is from RNAcentral.
AUUGAACGCUGGCGGCAUGCUUUACACAUGCAAGUCGAACGGCAGCGCGGGCUUCGGCCUGGCGGCGAGUGGCGAACGGGUGAGUAAUACAUCGGAACGUGCCCAGUAGUGGGGGAUAGCUCAGCGAAAGCCGGAUUAAUACCGCAUACGACCUGAGGGUGAAAGCGGGGGAUCUUCGGACCUCGCGCUAUUGGAGCGGCCGAUGGCAGAUUAGCUAGUUGGUGGGGUAAAGGCCUACCAAGGCGACGAUCUGUAGCUGGUCUGAGAGGACGACCAGCCACACUGGGACUGAGACACGGCCCAGACUCCUACGGGAGGCAGCAGUGGGGAAUUUUGGACAAUGGGCGAAAGCCUGAUCCAGCAAUGCCGCGUGUGCGAUGAAGGCCUUCGGGUUGUAAAGCACUUUUGGCGGGAACGAAAAGGACUGUGCCAAUACCACGGUUCGAUGACGGUACCCGCAGAAUAAGCACCGGCUAACUACGUG